CGUGCUUAACACAUGCAAGUCGAACGCUGAAGCCCGCUUCGGUGGGUGGAUGAGUGGCGAACGGGUGAGUAACACGUGGGUAAUCUGCCCUGCACUCUGGGAUAAGCCUUGGAAACGGGGUCUAAUACCGGAUAGGACGCAUGGCCGCAUGGUCUGUGUGUGGAAAGUUCCGGCGGUGUAGGUUGAGCCCGCGGCCUAUCAGCUUGUUGGUGGGGUGAUGGCCUACCAAGGCGACGACGGGUAGCCGGCCUGAGAGGGUGACCGGCCACACUGGGACUGAGACACGGCCCAGACUCCUACGGGAGGCAGCAGUGGGGAAUCUUGCGCAAUGGGCGAAAGCCUGACGCAGCAACGCCGCGUGGGGGAUGACGGCCUUCGGGUUGUAAACCUCUUUCGACAUCGACGAAGCCUUCGGGUGACGGUAGGUGUAGAAGAAGCACCGGCUAACUACGUG
This 454-nucleotide ribosomal RNA is filed under the name uncultured bacterium. RNAcentral's name for it is "bacterial SSU rRNA". It matches the Rfam family "Bacterial small subunit ribosomal RNA", at positions 43 to 507 of the family's 1533-position model. The record is from RNAcentral.